Molecule: long non-coding RNA, 2499 nt
Organism: Lemur catta (Ring-tailed lemur)
Lineage: Eukaryota; Metazoa; Chordata; Mammalia; Primates; Lemuridae
Exons: 3
Source: RefSeq, a predicted model, not a curated record
UUGGGGGUUGGGGACCGCAGCCCUGGGCAUUGCUUUGACGCGUAGAACAUCCUGAGUUGGUGUAUGAUGCAGCACUUGGCAGCGCGUCUGGAACACGUCUCCCAAAGUGCUUUUCAAUGUGAAACUUCAUCAGUUUCUCUGCUGUGCCGCCUUCUGUUGCCCGGGAGUUCCUGGUUCAUCCUGGCCACCCCGAAAGAUCACGGGGUCUUCCUGUGACUGUCAUUCUCAGGGUGCAAGUCUCCUUCCUGCCUCCUGGCGGCAGAAUAUAGGAGAGUGUGUCCUGGACUCUGGACUGGGAAUUAACACCCAGUGGGGACUGCACCAGGAUGACCCGGCCAGUUUCUUCCACCACUGAGUGUGGACUUCAGAUCAGAUCUCUUAGGACAGAGCCUUCGGGAAUUCCCAUGAUGUGAAUUUCCUGGGCCGGCAGGAAUAGCUGCCCGCCUACUGCUUCCAAGGGCUGAGGGAGGAGGGGUGCACGCUGCCCACGAGAAAGGAGACAGAGACUUCCACCCCCUGACACCUAAUUUAUCUCAUCGUCUGCACCACGUGCACGCUCUGCGUGAGACGCAGAGAUUCCUGACUCCUCUAGACCACGAGCACAGUGGUUUUCAACCUGGGGUGAUUUUGUCCCCCAAGGACAUGUGACAACAUCUGGAGACAUUUUACGUUGACACGAAUGGAGAGGGUGUUUACCAGCAUCCCAGGCUUCUAAACAUCCUGCGAUGAACAAGAUGGCUCCCCACAAAGAAGAAUGAGCUGGCCCCAAAUGCCAUUAGGGCUGAGCUUGAGAAAUCUGCUGCAGCAGGUCCGGCUGCUGUCGUCAUGAUUCUGCUACUAGCAUCUUUCCCCACUGCUAACGAGGGAAUCCAAUCCGUAGCGGGAUGGGAGACUAGUUAAUCAAACUUGCUAAGACUGGUUCUAAAAUAAGAGUAAAGAAUCCAGCCCCACGGACUACUCUCAUGAGUCAAGGGCAUGAGCUUUGUGAUCCUGACUUAGGUUUGACUGGGGCUCAGGAACUGCACUGAUGACUCAGUAGCUCUUAACAAGGCCAGAGGUGCCGGGGACAGGGAUUCUGGGCCUUCGAGAGCCGUGUUCACACACACAGAAUAGACCCUUCCCUAGGGCAGCAGUCUGGGCUCUCUGAUGCUCCAAGAGCCCUGGUUGAACCCUGGCCCACUCCUGUGGUUUGUGCCUCUUGUAUCUGGCCAUGGGAUCCUGGCGUGGCCUCCACCCCUCAGUGUUCAGUUUCUAGCCACGUCCCGUACUUCCCUCCAGCCCAUGAUUUGGCUGUGAUGCUCCAUCUUGUCCCCAGUGCUCCUCCUGGCUGCCACCCUGCAGCCAGGCAGAUAGAACAAUAGGCCCCCUUUCCUCCCUCUGGGUUUUCUACAGUGUUCUGCACGGGCAAGGGGGUCACACUCGUGACCCCUGGGGAAGCGAAGCUUGACCGUAUUUGGUUUGGGAAUGCACCAUUUCUGUGACGUGCCAACACUUUGUUCUUGGCUCAGGCUUGUUCAUUCCGAAUUUUUAAGGACUUCUUUGGUUGUGAGUGACAGAAAUUGACUCUGGCUGGGCUAAGCAAAACAGGAAACCUAUUGGAAAGACCCCAAAGACAUCUCAGGCAUUCUGGGGCAGAGCUCUGCCAGGCCUCAGGGGUGGACUAAAACCAGGGACAGUGGCACCGUGGAAGCGCAGCAAGGCCUCCCUCCCUUCUUUGCCCUCUGCCUCCUGCUCCUGCCUCCCCAUCUGCUUUCUGGGAUGUUCAGAACGUGGGGGCGAAAGUGCCCGGUGAAAACAACAGCAGCUGGGUUUACAUGUCUUCCAUCCAAGGGAGCAACCAGCCUGGGCUAGAACCUCUUGGUCAUGAUUCAACAUUCCUGGGGGGGGAAGGACUUCUUCCUUGUAGGUGUGCAAACAAAAUAUUAGGUAUCCAUGGUAGCACUUAUGUUGAUGGCCAAGAGGGGACAUUGAAAGAGAGCUUGUCAAAGGUGCAGAGGAGAGUUCCUGUGUUGGGUAAUGAGCUGUGAACGGCUGGGUGAGGGGGGCAGAUUGAAAUGAAACCAGAGGCACUUGGUAGCGCAAAUCCCACUCAGUGCAGCACACUUGUAGGAGACGCUGCUGUAGCUCUGAUCAGACUCAGACAGACAGAAAGCGACAGCAUCAGGCUGGGCCGUCUAGAACAGCGUCAGGGUCCUUGCAGGCGCCAGGGUGAGGGAUGGUGAGCUCUGCCGGGUCAGGACAGCUCAGGAGGAGCCACAGGAGGGAAGUGGUGUUUGAGCUGAGCCUUGAGGGAUGAAGGGAACACCUGGGGGGCUCAGCACGUGAAGGACUUACCUGGAGCUCAUGAAAAGCCCCCGAGACGUGGGUGACUGCAAGUGCGACAUCCGUGGGAGGAUUUCUACUUUCCCCUUUUCUCAUGGUCCUCUCUCUGUUCAGCCUGUUUUAGUUUCCUAACAAAUGACCACAAAUUCAGUGGCUGAAACAAUAUAAAUUUAUUCU